This 460-nucleotide ribosomal RNA is filed under the name uncultured bacterium. Its description in RNAcentral is "partial 16S ribosomal RNA". It matches the Rfam family "Bacterial small subunit ribosomal RNA", at positions 338 to 795 of the family's 1533-position model. The record is from RNAcentral.
CCUACGGGUGGCAGCAGUGAGGAAUAUUGGUCAAUGGUCGGGAGACUGAACCAGCCAAGCCGCGUGAGGGAGGAAGGUACAGAGUAUCGUAAACCUCUUUUGUCAGGGAACAAAGGCGGGGACGUGUCCUCGGAUGAGUGUACCUGAAGAAUAAGCAUCGGCUAACUCCGUGCCAGCAGCCGCGGUAAUACGGAGGAUGCGAGCGUUAUCCGGAUUUAUUGGGUUUAAAGGGUGCGCAGGCGGUUUUUUAAGUCAGCGGUGAAAGCCCGGGGCUCAACCCCGGCGCGGCCGUUAAAACGGGCAGACUCGAGUUGGGGUGAAGUAGGCGGAAUGCGCGGUGUAGCGGUGAAAUGCAUAGAUAUCGCGCAGAACUCCGAUUGCGAAGGCAGCAUGCCGGCUCCACACUGACGCUGAGGCACGAAAGCGUGGGUAUCGAACAGGAUUAGAUACCCGUGUAGUC